GUGCUUGCUUUGGCAGCACAUAUACUAAAAUUGGAACAAUACACAGAAGAUUAGCAGGGCCCCUGCUCAAGGAUGACAUGCAAAUUUGUGAAGCAUUCCAUAUUAAA
Molecule: small nuclear RNA, 107 nt
Filed under: Equus asinus (donkey)
Lineage: Eukaryota; Metazoa; Chordata; Mammalia; Perissodactyla; Equidae
Source: RNAcentral